This 548-nucleotide ribosomal RNA is filed under the name uncultured bacterium. RNAcentral's name for it is "bacterial SSU rRNA". It matches the Rfam family "Bacterial small subunit ribosomal RNA", at positions 356 to 896 of the family's 1533-position model. The record is from RNAcentral.
AGGGAAUCUUCGGCAAUGGACGGAAGUCUGACCGAGCAACGCCGCGUGAGUGAAGAAGGUUUUCGGAUCGUAAAGCUCUGUUGUAAGAGAAGAACGAGUGUGAGAGUGGAAAGUUCACACUGUGACGGUAUCUUACCAGAAAGGGACGGCUAACUACGUGCCAGCGGCCGCGGUAAUACGUAGGUCCCGAGCGUUGUCCGGAUUUAUUGGGCGUAAAGCGAGCGCAGGCGGUUAGAUAAGUCUGAAGUUAAAGGCUGUGGCUUAACCAUAGUACGCUUUGGAAACUGUUUAACUUGAGUGCAAGAGGGGAGAGUGGAAUUCCAUGUGUAGCGGUGAAAUGCGUAGAUAUAUGGAGGAACACCGGUGGCGAAAGCGGCUCUCUGGCUUGUAACUGACGCUGAGGCUCGAAAGCGUGGGGAGCAAACAGGAUUAGAUACCCUGGUAGUCACGCCGUAAACGAUGAGUGCUAGGUGUUAGACCCUUUCCGGGGUUUAGUGCCGUAGCUAACGCAUUAAGCACUCCGCCUGGGGAGUACGACCGCAAGGUUG